Molecule: ribosomal RNA, 254 nt
Filed under: uncultured bacterium
Lineage: Bacteria
Description: partial 16S ribosomal RNA
Rfam family: Bacterial small subunit ribosomal RNA
Source: RNAcentral
UACGUAGGAGACGAGCGUUGUCCGGAGUUACUGGGCGUAAAGGGUGCGCAGGUGGCGGCGCGCGUGGGGGGUGAAAUCCCUCGGCUUAACCGAGGAACUGCCAUCCAGACUGCUUGGCUUGAGACCGGGAGAGGUGAGUGGAAUUCCCAGUGUAGCGGUGAAAUGCGUAGAUAUUGGGAGGAACACCAGUGGCGAAGGCGGCUCACUGGACCGGUACUGACGCUGAGGCGCGAAAGCGUGGGGAGCAAACGGGG